This 506-nucleotide ribosomal RNA is filed under the name uncultured bacterium. Its description in RNAcentral is "partial 16S ribosomal RNA". It matches the Rfam family "Bacterial small subunit ribosomal RNA", at positions 30 to 523 of the family's 1533-position model. The record is from RNAcentral.
AUUGAACGCUGGCGGCAGGCUUAACACAUGCAAGUCGAGCGGUAACAGAGAGAAGCUUGCUUCUCUGCUGACGAGCGGCGGACGGGUGAGUAAUGCCUAGGAAUCUGCCUAGUAGUGGGGGAUAACUUGCCGAAAGGUAAGCUAAUACCGCAUACGUCCUACGGGAGAAAGGAGGGGACCUUCGGGCCUUUCGCUAUUAGAUGAGCCUAGGUCGGAUUAGUUAGUUGGUGAGGUAAUGGCUCACCAAGACCGCGAUCCGUAACUGGUCUGAGAGGAUGAUCAGUCACACUGGAACUGAGACACGGUCCAGACUCCUACAGGAGGCAGCUGUGGGGAAUAUUGGACAAUGGGGGGAACCCUGAUCCAGCCAUGCCGCGUGUGUGAAGAAGGUCUUAGGAUUGUAAAGCACUUUAAGUUGGGAGGAAGAGCAGUUAACUAAUAUUUGACUGUUUUGACGUUACCGACAGAAUAAGCACCGGCUAACUUCGUGCCAGCCGCCGCGGUAA